RNAcentral lists this ribosomal RNA (468 nucleotides) under uncultured bacterium. RNAcentral's name for it is "partial 16S ribosomal RNA". It matches the Rfam family "Bacterial small subunit ribosomal RNA", at positions 28 to 507 of the family's 1533-position model. The record is from RNAcentral.
GACGAACGCUGGCGGCGUGCUUAACACAUGCAAGUCGAACGGAAAGGCCCUGCUUUUGUGGGGUGCUCGAGUGGCGAACGGGUGAGUAACACGUGAGUAACCUGCCCUUGACUUUGGGAUAACUUCAGGAAACUGGGGCUAAUACCGGAUAGGAGCUCCUGCUGCAUGGUGGGGGUUGGAAAGUUUCGGCGGUUGGGGAUGGACUCGCGGCUUAUCAGCUUGUUGGUGGGGUAGUGGCUUACCAAGGCUUUGACGGGUAGCCGGCCUGAGAGGGUGACCGGCCACAUUGGGCCUGAGAUACGGACCAGACUCCUACGGGAGGCAGCGGUGGGGAAUAUUGCACAAUGGGCGGGAGCCUGAUGCAGCAACGCCGCGUGCGGGAUGACGGCCUUCGGGUUGUAAACCGCUUUCGCCUGUGACGAAGCGUGAGUGACGGUAAUGGGUAAAGAAGCACCGGCUAACUACGUG